GACGAACGCUGGCGGCGUGCUUAACACAUGCAAGUCGAACGGAAAGGCCCUGCUUGCAGGGUACUCGAGUGGCGAACGGGUGAGUAACACGUGGGUGAUCUGCCCUGCACUUCGGGAUAAGCCUGGGAAACUGGGUCUAAUACCGGAUAGGAGCCAUUUUUAGUGUGAUGGUUGGAAAGUUUUUUCGGUGUAGGAUGAGCUCGCGGCCUAUCAGCUUGUUGGUGGGGUAAUGGCCUACCAAGGCGGCGACGGGUAGCCGGCCUGAGAGGGUGGACGGCCACAUUGGGACUGAGAUACGGCCCAGACUCCUACGGGAGGCAGCAGUGGGGAAUAUUGCACAAUGGGCGCAAGCCUGAUGCAGCGACGCCGCGUGGGGGAUGACGGCCUUCGGGUUGUAAACUCCUUUCGCUAGGGACGAAGCUUUUUGUGACGGUACCGAGAUAAGAAGCACCGGCGAACUACGU
This 464-nucleotide ribosomal RNA is filed under the name uncultured bacterium. RNAcentral's name for it is "partial 16S ribosomal RNA". It matches the Rfam family "Bacterial small subunit ribosomal RNA", at positions 28 to 506 of the family's 1533-position model. The record is from RNAcentral.